AUGGCGUCCUCCGUCGCCGGCGGGUUGCCGUCGAGGUCCGCCAUCGUGGCCGACACGACCAGCGGGCACCACCUUCUCACCAUCCACGGCUACUCCCGCACCAAGGACAUACCCACCGGAGAGCGCGUCAAGUCUCACCCUUUCAUCAUCGGCGGCCAUCGCUGGCGGAUCGACUACUACCCCGGCGGCGUGCGCCCGGAGGUCGCGGACUACGUGUCCCUCUCCCUGAUACUAGAGGAAGAUGGCCCGGCGCCGGUGAAGGCCCAGUACGACAUCUGCCUCGUUACCAAGGAGGAGGAGGCGGAGCAAGCCGCGUCGAUGGCGUCGGCACCGGUCGACGAGUUCGCUCCCCGGAAGGGCUGGGAGUACUCCAAGUUCGUCAGGAGGGUGGAGCUGGAGAGCUCAAAGUAUCUCACCAACGAUUCGUUCACCGUCCGGUGCGAUAUCGUUGUCGUCCAUGGUUACCGCGCCGCGGCCGGCAUGGCGGCCUUGGUCUCUGUGCCCCCAUGUGACCUGCGUGAGAACCUUGGCAGGCUCCUCGACACCGGGAUGGGCGCCGACGUGGUGUUUGAGGUCGGCGGCGAGACCGUCGCGGCACACCGGUGCGUGCUCGCGGCCUGCUCUCCGGUGUUUGCCGCCCAACUCUUUGGACCCAUGAAGGAGGGUAAUGCCGGCGUCGUGCGCGUGGAAGACAUGGACGCGGAGGUGUUCAAGGCGUUGCUCCGUUUCACAUACGCCGGCUUGCUGCCGGAGACGUUCAAGGAAGACGCAGUCGUAUGCCAGCAUCUGCUCGUUGCUGCGGACAGGUAUGGCAUGGGGCGGCUAAAGCUGAUCUGCGAGCAGAAGCUGUGCGAGUACAUCGACAUCGGCACGGCAGCAACCAUCCUGACGCUGGCCGAGCAGCACCGCUGUGAGGGGCUGAAGAAGGCCUGCUUCGAUUUUCUCGCCGCUCCACCAAAUCUGAGGGAAGUCGUGGCCACCGACGGCUUCCAGCAUCUGAUCGCGAGCUGCCCUUCUCUUAUGGUCGAGCUCAUGGCUAUGUCCCCUACACAUUAG
This 1056-nucleotide ribosomal RNA is filed under the name Triticum aestivum (bread wheat). RNAcentral describes it as "partial small subunit ribosomal RNA". Lineage: Eukaryota; Viridiplantae; Streptophyta; Magnoliopsida; Poales; Poaceae. The record is from RNAcentral.